AAAAUUUUUUUUUUUUUGAAAACCUGACCCCAGAGUAUGCCAGAUCCGCCACAAAUACAGGGAAUCCACUGUUCACACGGACAGAGUCCCCUGUAUUUGCACGGCGUCGCACAAGUACAAAAGUACAAACAGUAUACAACCACAACUAAAUGAAUAAACAGAUAGCUAUACCUUCAUACAUUCACCAUUCACACCGUAGUUUUACAUUCGAUGAUUAAACAAAAGUCCACGAAAAAUCUUUUUGAAAACUGUUCCAUACGCGAAAACUUUUAUCUUUUAUAAAAGCUACCACGAGGGGUAGAAAACCUUUUAUUUUACUAAUCCAGAAAUCCUUUUAUUACAUUCAUGAAAGUCCACAUAUUCCAAUGUAAUAAAAAUACUGAACCAUAUAAAAUGACUAAGCUAUAACAACAGAAUAGUAGGGAUAAAACUAAACCGAUAAUCUGGGUCGGAAGCUCUAUCGACCGCUACGAACGUACCUCACGUCUCGUCCCAAAACUCAACGCCUGUAAUACCUGAAAAAUAGUGGGGGAGGUGAGAACAUGUAAACAUGUCUCCCCUCCCAGUGGGUACCGCAAGCCGAAGAAGGCGAGGAGUACUCACCGGAUCAGGAAGAGAUAAACAACAGUAUGGGUAAGUAAAAUAUAGUAGCAACGAUAAUGAACGAAUGAGAUAUAUAUAUGAAAGCACAACUACCGCUACUGUAAUGUACAACUGCAAGCAUACAAGGAUAUCAAAACUAUAGUAGCAAGACAACUGUAAAGAAAGAACUAGAAGUAUAUAUGCAACAACCGCUACUAUAG
This 803-nucleotide long non-coding RNA is filed under the name Ananas comosus (pineapple). RNAcentral describes it as "long non-coding RNA (ACOM_LNC037558)". Lineage: Eukaryota; Viridiplantae; Streptophyta; Magnoliopsida; Poales; Bromeliaceae. The record is from RNAcentral.